GAUGAACGCUGGCGGCGUGCCUAAUACAUGCAAGUCGAGCGAACGGACGAGAAGCUUGCUUCUCUGAUGUUAGCGGCGGACGGGUGAGUAACACGUGGAUAACCUACCUAUAAGACUGGGAUAACUUCGGGAAACCGGAGCUAAUACCGGAUAAUAUUUUGAACCGCAUGGUUCAAAAGUGAAGGACGGUCUUGCUGUCACUUAUAGAUGGAUCCGCGCUGCAUUAGCUAGUUGGUAAGGUAACGGCUUACCAAGGCAACGACGCAUAGCCGACCUGAGAGGGUGAUCGGCCACACUGGAACUGAGACACGGUCCAGACUCCUACGGGAGGCAGCAGUAGGGAAUCUUCCGCAAUGGGCGAAAGCCUGACGGAGCAACGCCGCGUGAGUGAUGAAGGUCUUCGGAUCGUAAAACUCUGUUAUUAGGGAAGAACAUAUGUGUAAGUAACUGUGCACAUCUUGACGGUACCUAAUCAGAAAGCCACGGCUAACUACGUG
RNAcentral lists this ribosomal RNA (497 nucleotides) under uncultured bacterium. Its description in RNAcentral is "partial 16S ribosomal RNA". It matches the Rfam family "Bacterial small subunit ribosomal RNA", at positions 28 to 507 of the family's 1533-position model. The record is from RNAcentral.